Molecule: long non-coding RNA, 1084 nt
Organism: Anolis carolinensis (green anole)
Lineage: Eukaryota; Metazoa; Chordata; Lepidosauria; Squamata; Anolidae
Exons: 2
Source: RefSeq, a predicted model, not a curated record
CACCCCAUUCAAAGAUCAUCGCAGCUGGUCUGUUGAUCAGGUGCUUCUUUGAAGGAUCGCAAGCAAGCCUGCUUCAGGUUUUGUUUCCCAAAGAGCCCAAACCAUUUUCCGGUUUUCUGCUGGAGAGAUUGAUCAACAUGGAGAAGUGGCUCAGAAGGGGGUUAUGCUCGGCUGAAGAUAACUUCCCAGGUGCCGCUCGGCUCCUUCAACUGGCGUACAUACGUUUAUGUGGCCUACUCCUUGCCGUGAUCGGGUGGGUCCUGUGCCUUACGGCAACAGGAGCUGACGAAUGGAGAGUGUGGCACUCAAAGGAUGUGCCUGGCACCAGCCCUGCCAAGAUCUGGGUCGGAAUCUGGAAAGUUUGUUUUGUAGAUAAUCCUCCUGAAGGCGAGCCCACGAGGCAAUGCCAGGAAUUCCUGGAGCAACAUCAGUCCCUGCCAACAGAAAUUCUCAUCGCUCAGGACCUGAUGCCUUUCGCGAGUGUUGUCCUGUCUUUAGCUAUCGCGUGUAUUUCUUUUGCCUUGUGGAACAUUUUCCACAAUGUAAGACCGGAAAAGGUUUUUCUUGCUUUUUUCAGGGUUGGGGGAGCUUUAACUUUAUUGUCUGCUUUCAUCACUCUUAUUCCAGUUUUGUGGAAUAUGUAUUCCGUAGUGUCAAAUGAAAGGAUUGUGUUCCCCAGUGAUUUUAGCUUGCCUGCUCUUCCAAAUGAACAGACAGUUGGCUUCCCUAUAUAUGUGGGGGUUUUUGCUUCGGGAUUCCAGGUGACAACUUCAAUAUUUAUUUUCAGUGAGAAAUUCUGGAUUAGGUCCCAUAGAGUCCAUCCUGUGAUUAAGGUCACUCUGAAGACAUUAACCAGUAGAAAUGGCCCUGAAUCCUGUCCCUGUUGUGGAUCAUGUAUAUCGCUUGAUAAACUGAUAUUUGAAGAACAACUUUUUAUUGUUUAAAGGGGAGUAGAUAUUUUAAAACAGGGCUGUUUUAUUGUGUGCACAUUCCAAAAAUGACAUUGAACUGUUUCUGUUUUUACUUUGUGUUAAAAUAUGUUUAAAUGUAGAAUUAUUUGUUUUUAACUAAAUAAAUAAAAUUA